This 404-nucleotide ribosomal RNA is filed under the name uncultured bacterium. RNAcentral's name for it is "bacterial SSU rRNA". It matches the Rfam family "Bacterial small subunit ribosomal RNA", at positions 355 to 776 of the family's 1533-position model. The record is from RNAcentral.
UGGGGGAUAUUGCACAAUGGGGGAAACCCUGAUGCAGCGACGCCGCGUGAGUGAAGAAGUAUUUCGGUAUGUAAAGCUCUAUCAGCAGGGAAGAUAAUGACGGUACCUGAGUAAGAAGCCCCGGCUAACUACGUGCCAGCAGCCGCGGUAAUACGUAGGGGGCAAGCGUUAUCCGGAUUUACUGGGUGUAAAGGGAGCGUAGACGGCAGGGCAAGUCUGAUGUGAAAGCCCGGGGCUCAACCCCGGGACUGCAUUGGAAACUGUCAGGCUAGAGUGCAGGAGAGGUGAGCGGAAUUCCUAGUGUAGCGGUGAAAUGCGUAGAUAUUAGGAGGAACACCAGUGGCGAAGGCGGCUCACUGGACUGUAACUGACGUUGAGGCUCGAAAGCGUGGGGAGCAAACAGG